This 301-nucleotide ribosomal RNA is filed under the name uncultured bacterium. RNAcentral describes it as "partial 16S ribosomal RNA". It matches the Rfam family "Bacterial small subunit ribosomal RNA", at positions 509 to 809 of the family's 1533-position model. The record is from RNAcentral.
CAGUCGCCGCGGUAAUACGAAGGGUGCAAGCGUUAAUCGGAAUUACUGGGCGUAAAGCGUGCGCAGGCGGUUGUGUAAGACAGGUGUGAAAUCCCCGGGCUUAACCUGGGAACUGCGCUUGUGACUGCACAGCUAGAGUAUGGCAGAGGGGGGUGGAAUUCCACGUGUAGCAGUGAAAUGCGUAGAGAUGUGGAGGAACACCGAUGGCGAAGGCAGCCCCCUGGGCCAAUACUGACGCUCAUGCACGAAAGCGUGGGGAGCAAACAGGAUUAGAGACCCCUGUAGUCCCUGUCUCUUAUAA